This 554-nucleotide ribosomal RNA is filed under the name uncultured Methanosarcina sp. Its description in RNAcentral is "bacterial SSU rRNA". It matches the Rfam family "Archaeal small subunit ribosomal RNA", at positions 325 to 879 of the family's 1478-position model. Lineage: Archaea; Methanobacteriati; Methanobacteriota; Methanomicrobia; Methanosarcinales; Methanosarcinaceae. The record is from RNAcentral.
ACGGGGUGCAGCAGGCGCGAAAACUUUACAAUGCGGGAAACCGUGAUAAGGGGACACCGAGUGCCAGCAUCAUAUGCUGGCUGUCCGGAUGUGUAAAAUACAUCCGUUAGCAAGGGCCGGGCAAGACCGGUGCCAGCCGCCGCGGUAACACCGGCGGCCCGAGUGGUGAUCGUGAUUAUUGGGUCUAAAGGGUCCGUAGCCGGUUUGGUCAGUCCUCCGGGAAAUCUGAUAGCUCAACUAUUAGGCUUUCGGGGGAUACUGCCAGACUUGGAACCGGGAGAGGUAAGAGAUACUACAGGGGUAGGAGUGAAAUCUUGUAAUCCCUGUGGGACCACCUGUGGCGAAGGCGUCUUACCAGAACGGGUUCGACGGUGAGGGACGAAAGCUGGGGGCACGAACCGGAUUAGAUACCCGGGUAGUCCCAGCCGUAAACGAUGCUCGCUAGGUGUCAGGCAUGGCGCGACCGUGUCUGGUGCCGCAGGGAAGCCGUGAAGCGAGCCACCUGGGAAGUACGGCCGCAAGGCUGAAACUUAAAGGAAUUGGCGGGGGAGCAC